This 253-nucleotide ribosomal RNA is filed under the name uncultured bacterium. Its description in RNAcentral is "partial 16S ribosomal RNA". It matches the Rfam family "Bacterial small subunit ribosomal RNA", at positions 524 to 776 of the family's 1533-position model. The record is from RNAcentral.
UACGGGGGGGGCAAGCGUUGUUCGGAAUUACUGGGCGUAAAGGGCUCGUAGGCGGCCAACUAAGUCAGACGUGAAAUCUCUCGGCUCAACCGAGAAACUGCCAUUGAUACUGUUAUUCUUGAAUUCGAUCGAAGUGGGCGGAAUGUGACAUGUAGCGGUGAAAUGCUUAGAUAUGUCACAGAACACCGAUAGCGAAGGCAGCUCACUAGGUCUGGAUUGACGCUCAGGGACGAAAGCGUGGGGAGCAAACAGG